RNAcentral lists this long non-coding RNA (210 nucleotides) under Phoenix dactylifera (date palm). RNAcentral's name for it is "long non-coding RNA (PDAC_LNC010690)". Lineage: Eukaryota; Viridiplantae; Streptophyta; Magnoliopsida; Arecales; Arecaceae. The record is from RNAcentral.
GCCAUUUUUGCAGGAGUGUGCCAAAUGAUUUCUUGAUGUGCCGGGGUCGACUCAAACAAUCUUUGGGUCGACUCAAUCCACACUUUGCUGCAUUCUCAAGGUUAGAUUCAUUCAAAUGAACAAAGCAUGUAUCUAUUAUCAAUCACACAAAUAUACUGAGAGUAAUGAACUUAUAAAUGAAGUAUCAAUUUAACUUAUAACAUACUCUAG